Colletotrichum gloeosporioides Cg-14 is the source of this 95-nucleotide transfer RNA. It matches the Rfam family "tRNA". Rfam says of the family: Transfer RNA (tRNA) molecules are approximately 80 nucleotides in length. Their secondary structure includes four short double-helical elements and three loops (D, anti-codon, and T loops). Further hydrogen bonds mediate the characteristic L-shaped molecular structure. tRNAs have two regions of fundamental functional importance: the anti-codon, which is responsible for specific mRNA codon recognition, and the 3' end, to which the tRNAs corresponding amino acid is attached (by aminoacyl-tRNA synthetases). tRNAs cope with the degeneracy of the genetic code in two manners: having more than one tRNA (with a specific anti-codon) for a particular amino acid; and 'wobble' base-pairing, i.e. permitting non-standard base-pairing at the 3rd anti-codon position. The record is from Rfam. NCBI's taxonomy places the organism in Eukaryota, Fungi, Ascomycota, Sordariomycetes, Glomerellales, Glomerellaceae.
GGUCGGUUAGCUCAGUUGGUCAGAGCGUGGUACUAAUAUGUCAUCCAACAUAUUGAGUAAUGCCAAGGUCAUGAGUUCAAGCCUCAUACUGAUCA